This 449-nucleotide ribosomal RNA is filed under the name uncultured bacterium. RNAcentral describes it as "bacterial SSU rRNA". It matches the Rfam family "Bacterial small subunit ribosomal RNA", at positions 917 to 1382 of the family's 1533-position model. The record is from RNAcentral.
GGGCCCGCACAAGCAGCGGAGCGUGUGGUUUAAUUCGACGCAACGCGAAGAACCUUACCCAGGCUGGACAUGGCCCUGCACGCCGGUGAAAGCCGGUUCCUUCGAGGGUGGGCCACAGGUGCUGCAUGGUUGUCGUCAGCUCGUGUCGUGAGAUGUUGGGUUAAGUCCCGCAACGAGCGCAACCCGCGUCGGCAGUUAUACGUGUCUGCCGAGACAGCCGCCUUGAUGGGCGGAGGAAGGCGCGGAUGACGUCAAAUCAGCAUGGCCCUUACGCCUGGGGCGACACACACGCUACAAUGGCCAGGACAGCGCGUCGCGCGGCCGCAAGGCCAAGCAAAUCGUCAAACCUGGUCUCAGUGCAGAUCGGGGGCUGCAACUCGCCCCCGUGAAGGCGGAGUUGCUAGUAACCGCGUAUCAGCCACGGCGCGGUGAAUACGUUCCCGGGCCUU